CAGUAGCCGCGGGAAUACGGAGGAUCCAAGCGUUAUCCGGAAUCAUUGGGUUUAAAGGGUCCGUAGGCGGUCUUGUAAGUCAGUGGUGAAAGCCCAUCGCUCAACGGUGGAACGGCCAUUGAUACUGCAGGACUUGAAUUAUUGGGAAGUAACUAGAAUAUGUAGUGUAGCGGUGAAAUGCUUAGAGAUUACAUGGAAUACCAAUUGCGAAGGCAGGUUACUACCAAUUGAUUGACGCUGAUGGACGAAAGCGUGGGUAGCGAACAGGAUUAGAUACCCGCGUAGUCCCUGUCUCUUAUAU
Molecule: ribosomal RNA, 301 nt
Filed under: uncultured bacterium
Lineage: Bacteria
Description: partial 16S ribosomal RNA
Rfam family: Bacterial small subunit ribosomal RNA
Source: RNAcentral